This 334-nucleotide ribosomal RNA is filed under the name uncultured eukaryote. RNAcentral describes it as "partial 18S ribosomal RNA". It matches the Rfam family "Eukaryotic small subunit ribosomal RNA", at positions 1470 to 1796 of the family's 1831-position model. The record is from RNAcentral.
CCCUUAGAUGUCCGGGGCCACACGCGCGCUACACUGAAGGAAUCAGCGUGGCUUUCUCCCUGACCCGAAAGGGUUGGGAAACCCGUUGAAUCUCCUUCGUGAUAGGGAUUGGGGCUUGAAAUUGUUCCCCAUGAACGAGGAAUUCCCAGUAAGCGCGAGUCAUAAGCUCGCGUUGAUUACGUCCCUGCCCUUUGUACACACCGCCCGUCGCUACUACCGAUUGAACGGUUUAGUGAGGGCCUCGGAUUGGUCUCGGCCCGCUCUUUACCGGGCGGCGCUGUUGGUCGAGAAGACGCUCGAACUUGAUCGUUUAGAGGAAGUAAAAGUCGUAACA